CCGUAUAGGGGAGCCGGAGGGAAACCGAGUCUUAAUUGGGCGUUAAGUUGCAGGGUAUAGACCCGAAACCCGGUGAUCUAGCCAUGGGCAGGUUGAAGGUUGGGUAACACUAACUGGAGGACCGAACCGACUAAUGUUGAAAAAUUAGCGGAUGACCUGUGGCUGGGGGUGAAAGGCCAAUCAAACCGGGAGAUAGCUGGUUCUCCCCGAAAGCUAUUUAGGUAGCGCCUCGUGAAUUCAUCUCCGGGGGUAGAGCACUGUUUCGGCUAGGGGGCCAUCCCGGCUUACCAACCCGAUGCAAACUGCGAAUACCGGAGAAUGUUAUCACGGGAGACACACGGCGGGUGCUAACGUCCGUCGUGAAGAGGGAAACAACCCAGACCGCCAGCUAAGGUCCCAAAGUCAUGGUUAAGUGGGAAACGAUGUGGGAAGGCCCAGACAGCCAGGAUGUUGGCUUAGAAGCAGCCAUCAUUUAAAGAAAGCGUAAUAGCUCACUGGUCGAGUCGGCCUGCGCGGAAGAUGUAACGGGGCUAAACCAU
Molecule: ribosomal RNA, 539 nt
Filed under: Salmonella enterica
Lineage: Bacteria; Pseudomonadati; Pseudomonadota; Gammaproteobacteria; Enterobacterales; Enterobacteriaceae
Also listed under: 1 other name
Description: partial 23S ribosomal RNA
Rfam family: Bacterial large subunit ribosomal RNA
Source: RNAcentral